GACGAACGCUGGCGGCGUGCCUAAUACAUGCAAGUCGAACGCUUUUUCUUUCACCGGAGCUUGCUCCACCGAAAGAAAAAGAGUGGCGAACGGGUGAGUAACACGUGGGUAACCUGCCCAUCAGAAGGGGAUAACACUUGGAAACAGGUGCUAAUACCGUAUAACACUAUUUUCCGCAUGGAAGAAAGUUGAAAGGCGCUUUUGCGUCACUGAUGGAUGGACCCGCGGUGCAUUAGCUAGUUGGUGAGGUAACGGCUCACCAAGGCAACGAUGCAUAGCCGACCUGAGAGGGUGAUCGGCCACACUGGGACUGAGACACGGCCCAGACUCCUACGGGAGGCAGCAGUAGGGAAUCUUCGGCAAUGGACGAAAGUCUGACCGAGCAACGCCGCGUGAGUGAAGAAGGUUUUCGGAUCGUAAAACUCUGUUGUUAGAGAAGAACAAGGAUGAGAGUAAAAUGUUCAUCCCUUGACGGUAUCUAACCAGAAAGCCACGGCUAACUACGUGCCAGCCGCCGCAGUAA
This 523-nucleotide ribosomal RNA is filed under the name uncultured bacterium. Its description in RNAcentral is "partial 16S ribosomal RNA". It matches the Rfam family "Bacterial small subunit ribosomal RNA", at positions 28 to 523 of the family's 1533-position model. The record is from RNAcentral.